This 457-nucleotide ribosomal RNA is filed under the name Campylobacter sp. canine oral taxon 283. RNAcentral's name for it is "bacterial SSU rRNA". It matches the Rfam family "Bacterial small subunit ribosomal RNA", at positions 9 to 483 of the family's 1533-position model. The record is from RNAcentral. Lineage: Bacteria; Pseudomonadati; Campylobacterota; Epsilonproteobacteria; Campylobacterales; Campylobacteraceae.
GAGUUUGAUUCUGGCUCAGAGUGAACGCUGGCGGCGUGCCUAAUACAUGCAAGUCGAACGGACAAGUAAGAGCUUGCUCUUAUGAGUUAGUGGCGCACGGGUGAGUAAUGUAUAGCUAAUCUGCCCUACACUAGAGGACAACAGUUGGAAACGACUGCUAAUACUCUAUACUCCUUCUUUACAUAAGUUGAGUCGGGAAAGUUUUUCGGUGUAGGAUGAGGCUAUAUCGUAUCAGCUAGUUGGUAAGGUAAUGGCUUACCAAGGCUAUGACGCGUAACUGGUCUGAGAGGAUGAUCAGUCACACUGGAACUGAGACACGGUCCAGACUCCUACGGGAGGCAGCAGUAGGGAAUAUUGCUCAAUGGGGGAAACCCUGAAGCAGCAACGCCGCGUGGAGGAUGACACUUUUCGGAGCGUAAACUCCUUUUCUUGGGAAAGAAUUAUGACCGUNCCCAGG